This is a long non-coding RNA of Oenanthe melanoleuca, 381 nucleotides long. RefSeq lists it as uncharacterized. The record is from RefSeq and is a predicted model, not a curated record. NCBI's taxonomy places the organism in Eukaryota, Metazoa, Chordata, Aves, Passeriformes, Muscicapidae. The transcript has 3 exons.
UCACAAGGUGAAGAUCUCAUCCUCGCUGUCCCCAGUGUCCCCAGUGUCACAAGGUGAAGAUCUUGUCCCCAGUGUCCCCAAUGUCCCCAGUGUCACAAGGUGAAGAUCUCGUCCUCGCUGUCCCCAGUGUCCCCAGUGUCCCCAUGUCACAAGUGUCACAAGGUGAAGAUCUCAUCCUCGCUGUCCCCAGUGUCCCCAGUGUCCCCAGUGUCACAAGGUGAAGAUCUUGUCCCCAGUGUCCCCAGUGUCCCCAGUGUCACAAGGUGAAGAUCUCAUCCUCGCUGUCCCCAGUGUCCCCAGUGUCCCCAGUGUCACAAGGUGAAGAUCUCGUCCUCGCUGUCCCUGAGCGCGGCCGCCCGCGGGUUCCUGGUCAGGGGUCGG